RNAcentral lists this unclassified non-coding RNA (347 nucleotides) under soil metagenome. RNAcentral describes it as "partial contains 5.8S ribosomal RNA, internal transcribed spacer 2, and large subunit ribosomal RNA". The stretch from base 1 to 120 matches the Rfam family "5.8S ribosomal RNA", at positions 35 to 154 of the family's 154-position model. The record is from RNAcentral.
GAUGAAGAACGCAGCGAAAUGCGAUAACUAAUGUGAAUUGCAGAAUUCCGUGAAUCAUCGAGUCUUUGAACGCACAUUGCGCCCCCUGGUAUUCCGGGGGGCAUGCCUGUCCGAGCGUCAUUGCUGCCCAUCAAGCACGGCUUGUGUGUUGGGUCCCGUCCCCCUCUCCCGGGGGACGGACCCGAAAGGCGGCGGCGGCACCGCGUCCGGUCCUCGAGCGUAUGGGGCUUUGUCACCCGCUCUUGUAGGCCCGGCCGGCGCUUGCCGACACCCAACCAUUUUUUUCAGGUUGACCUCGGAUCAGGUAGGGAUACCCGCUGAACUUAAGCAUAUCAAUAAGCGGAGGA